Cervus elaphus (red deer) is the source of this 526-nucleotide long non-coding RNA. RefSeq lists it as uncharacterized. NCBI's taxonomy places the organism in Eukaryota, Metazoa, Chordata, Mammalia, Artiodactyla, Cervidae. The record is from RefSeq and is a predicted model, not a curated record. The transcript is spliced from 3 exons.
GUUUUGCAUAGAGGGGUGGGGAGGACCUGGAGGGGAGUUUUAGCUCCAGGCUAUUUUGAGCCAAGUAACAUUCCUUCAUCCCAGACCCUAAGGAAUAUAUAGAAAAAGAGAAAGAGAGCCGUCAGGGUCUCAAGCAAAAGAACAGUCUUGACUUGGUCUCGGGAAAUGGCUCAGAUUCGGCCUUGGAGGAAUCUCUGGAAAAGAUUAAACAAACAAGGCCCAAAGAUGGCACUUCAAGACAGCAGAUGCUAUUUCUAUGUAUCUUUGUCUCUUCAGACAAAAUCCAACUCAUCUCAAAUGUAUUCACUGUAUACCUUCUGGGUUGCAGUGGAGUGUUUAUGACUGAGCUCAGACUUCUGGUGGGCUCACAGUAGAUGCUCAGACCGUGUACAUGAAGCUCUGCCACCAACCUGCCCUGUGACCUCAGGUGAGUUAUGACAUCUCUCCAGGAGUUUGCUCAUUGGGAGUAGGUAAUUUCUUUCCUUCUUUCUCUUUCUUUUUUAAAAAAAUAAUUUAUUUGGCACCA